UGGGGAAUAUUGCACAAUGGGCGCAAGCCUGAUGCAGCCAUGCCGCGUGUAUGAAGAAGGCCUUCGGGUUGUAAAGUACUUUCAGCGGGGAGGAAGGGAGUAAAGUUAAUACCUUUGCUCAUUGACGUUACCCGCAGAAGAAGCACCGGCUAACUCCGUGCCAGCAGCCGCGGGAAUACGGAGGGUGCAAGCGUUAAUUGGAAUUACGGGGCGUAACGCGCACGCAGGCGGUUUGUUAAGUCAGUGGUGUAAUCCCCGGGCUGAACCUGGGAAGGGCAUCUGAUACUGGCGAGCUUGAGUCUCGUAGAGGGGGGUAGAAUUCCAGGUGUAGCGGUGAAAUGCGUAGAGAACUGGAGGAAUACCGGUGGCGAAGGCGGCCCCCUGAACGAAAACAGACGCUCAGGUGCGAAAGCGUGGGGAGCAACCAGG
This 429-nucleotide ribosomal RNA is filed under the name Chloroflexota bacterium. RNAcentral's name for it is "Chloroflexi bacterium partial 16S ribosomal RNA". It matches the Rfam family "Bacterial small subunit ribosomal RNA", at positions 355 to 776 of the family's 1533-position model. Lineage: Bacteria; Bacillati; Chloroflexota. The record is from RNAcentral.